AGAGCGCAGGGCGGAUGCCUUGGCAUUGGGAACCGAAGAAGGACGCGGUUAACUGCGAAAAGCUGCGGUGAGUUGUAAGCGAACUAAGACCCGCAGAUAUCCGAAUGGAGCAAUCCACAUGAGAGAAGCUCAUGUAUCAUAUACUGAAUCAAUAGGUAUAUGAGGGGAACCUCCCGAACUGAAACAUCUAAGUAGGGAGAGGAAAAGAAAUCAACCGAGAUUUCGAGAGUAGUGGCGAGCGAAAUCGAAAGAGGCCAAACCGACGGAAGCAAUUCAGUCGGGGUUGCGGACUGCAAAAAGCAAUGUCGAAGCUUAAUAGAACAGGAUGGGAAGCCUGACCGAAGAACGUGAAAGUCGUGUAAAUGAAAAGCAGAGACAGCAGGCAGAAUCCAGAGUACCGCGGGACACGAGAAACCCCGUGGGAAGCAGGGGGGACCACCCUCCAAGCCUAAAUAUUCCCCAAUGACCGAUAGCGAAGAGUACUGUGAAGGAAAGGUGAAAAGAACCCCGGGAGGGGAGUGAAAAAGAACCUGAAACCCUGUGCUUACAAGCACUGAGAGCACGUCAAAGUGUGAUCAGGUACCUUUUGUAGAAUGGUCCGGCGAGUUAUCGUAUGCAGCAAGGUUAAGAACUUAAGGUUUGAAGCCGAAGCGAGAGCAAGUCUGAAAAGGGCGUCAAGUUGCAUGCGAUAGACCCGAAACCGAGUGACCUAGCCAUGUCCAGGCUGAAGUGGAGGUAAAACUCCAUGGAGGGCCGAACCGACCCCCGUUGAAAAGGUGGCGGAUGAGGUGUGGCUAGCGGAGAAAUUCCAAUCGAACUCGGAUAUAGCUGGUUCUCCCCGAAAUAGCUUUAGGGCUAGCGUUGUAUUAGAUUACCGGAGGUAAAGCACUGAAUGGGCUAGGGGCCGAAAGGUUACUGAACCUUAUCAAACUAAGAAUGCCGGAUAAUUGAUGUACAGCAGUCAGACUGUGUGAGAUAAGUCUCAUAGUCGAAAGGGAAACAGCCCAGACCCACAGCUAAGGUCCCGAAAUAGAUUUAAGUGGAAAAGGAUGUGGGGUUGCACAGACAACCAGGAUGUUGGCUUAGAAGCAGCCACUCAUUAAAAGAGUGCGUAAUAGCUCACUGGUCGAGUGACCCUGCGCCGAAAAUUCAACGGGGCUAAAAUCUAUACCGAAGCUUGGGCUGCAAUUGAAAGAUUGCGGGGUAGGGGAGCGUCGUAUAAGAGGAGAAGUCAUAGCGGAAGCGAUGGUGGAUUUUAUACGAGUGAGAAUGCCGGAAUGAGUAGCGAGAAUUAUGUGAGAAUCAUAAUGGCCGAAAAUCUAAGGUUUUAGGAGGAAGGUUCGUCCGCUCCUAGUAAGCCGGGAGCUAAGGCGAGGCGGAAACGCGUAGCCGAUGCACAUACGGUAGAAAUUCCGUAGCCUCUGAAAGAUUUAAGCACAAGGACACUUGAGAAGCGUUUAUCCGGGAGUUGGUAUUCCCGGUCGUAAGGGACCCCGAAUGGGGGAAGUAAAUGUGGAUUGAGGCAAGAAAAGUUGUGUGAAUAUCUGAAGAGCCCGUACCGCAAACCGACACAGGUAGAUAGGAAGAGAAUUCUAAGGCCAACGGGAGAAGGGUUGUUAAGGAACUCGGCAAGUUGACCCCGUAACUUCGGAAUAAGGGGUGCUCAUGAAAGUGAGCCGCAGAGAAUAGGCCCAGGCAACUGUUUACCAAAAACACAGGUUUGUGCUAAAUCGAAAGAUGACGUAUACGAGCUGACGCCUGCCCGGUGCUGGAAGGUUAAAAGGAGAUGUGCAAGCAUUGAAUUGAAGCCCCAGUGAACGGCGGCCGUAACUAUAACGGUCCUAAGGUAGCGAAAUUCCUUGUCAGGUAAGUUCUGACCCGCACGAAUGGUGUAACGAUUUGGGCACUGUCUCAACAACCCGCCCGGCGAAAUUGUAGUACCGGUGAAGAUGCCGGUUACCCGCGACUAGACGGAAAGACCCCAUGGAGCUUCACUGCAGCUUAAUAUUGGAUUUUGGUAUUUCAUGUACAGGAUAGGUGGGAGACUGAGAAGCAAAGGCGUCAGCUUUUGUGGAGUCGCUGUUGGGAUACCACUCUUGAAGUGCUGAAAUUCUAACCUGCGCCCUUGAAUCAGGGCGGGGGACAUUGUUAGGUGGGCAGUUUGACUGGGGCGGUCGCCUCCAAAAAGGUAACGGAGGCGCUCAAAGGUUCGUUCAGCACGGACGGAAAUCGUGCAUUGAGUGUAAACGCAUAAACGAGCCUAACUGCGAGACCGACGGGUCGAGCAGUAACGAAAGUUGGAGUUAGUGAUCCGGUGGUAUGUGAGUGGAAAUGCCAUCGCUCAACGGAUAAAA
RNAcentral lists this ribosomal RNA (2354 nucleotides) under human gut metagenome. RNAcentral describes it as "bacterial LSU rRNA". It matches the Rfam family "Bacterial large subunit ribosomal RNA", at positions 14 to 2461 of the family's 2925-position model. The record is from RNAcentral.